Molecule: non-coding RNA, 21 nt
Filed under: Arabidopsis thaliana (thale cress)
Lineage: Eukaryota; Viridiplantae; Streptophyta; Magnoliopsida; Brassicales; Brassicaceae
Source: RNAcentral
AGCUAAAAGGUAGAUAUUCUC